This 1485-nucleotide ribosomal RNA is filed under the name metagenome. RNAcentral's name for it is "bacterial SSU rRNA". It matches the Rfam family "Bacterial small subunit ribosomal RNA". The record is from RNAcentral.
AGAGUUUGAUCCUGGCUCAGGAUGAACGCUGGCGGCGUGCUUAACACAUGCAAGUCGAACGGGAAUGCUUCGCUGAUGCGAUUUCGGUCAAAUCUUGAAGCAUUUUAGUGGCGGACGGGUGAGUAACGCGUGGGUAACCUGCCCUGUACAGGGGGACAACAGUUGGAAACGACUGCUAAUACCGCAUAAGCGCACAGCUUCGCAUGAAGCAGUGUGAAAAACUCCGGUGGUACAGGAUGGACCCGCGUCUGAUUAGAUAGUUGGUGAGGUAACGGCCCACCAAGUCAACGAUCAGUAGCCGGCCUGAGAGGGCGAACGGCCACAUUGGGACUGAGACACGGCCCAAACUCCUACGGGAGGCAGCAGUGGGGAAUAUUGCACAAUGGGGGAAACCCUGAUGCAGCGACGCCGCGUGAGUGAAGAAGUAUUUCGGUAUGUAAAGCUCUAUCAGCAGGGAAGAAAACAAUGACGGUACCUGACUAAGAAGCCCCGGCUAACUACGUGCCAGCAGCCGCGGUAAUACGUAGGGGGCAAGCGUUAUCCGGAUUUACUGGGUGUAAAGGGAGCGUAGACGGUAGACCAAGUCUGAAGUGAAAGCCCGGGGCUCAACCCCGGAACUGCUUUGGAAACUGGUAAACUAGAGUGCAGGAGAGGUAAGUGGAAUUCCUAGUGUAGCGGUGAAAUGCGUAGAUAUUAGGAGGAACACCAGUGGCGAAGGCGGCUUACUGGACUGUAACUGACGUUGAGGCUCGAAAGCGUGGGGAGCAAACAGGAUUAGAUACCCUGGUAGUCCACGCCGUAAACGAUGAUUACUAGGUGUCGGGGAGUUAAACUCUUCGGUGCCGCAGCAAACGCAAUAAGUAAUCCACCUGGGGAGUACGUUCGCAAGAAUGAAACUCAAAGGAAUUGACGGGGACCCGCACAAGCGGAGGAACAUGUGGUUUAAUUCGAUGAUACGCGAGGAACCUUACCCGGGCUUGAAUUGCAGAGGAAGGAUUUGGAGACAAUGACGCCCUUCGGGGUCUCUGUGAAGGUGCUGCAUGGUUGUCGUCAGCUCGUGCCGUGAGGUGUCGGCUUAAGUGCCAUAACGAGCGCAACCCCUCUCCUUAGUUGCCAUCAGGUUAAGCUGGGCACUCUGGGGACACUGCCACCGUAAGGUGUGAGGAAGGUGGGGAUGACGUCAAAUCAGCACGGCCCUUACGUCCGGGGCUACACACGUGUUACAAUGGCAAGUACAGAGAGACGGUUGUACGUAAGUACGAUCAAAUCCUUAAAGCCUGUCUCAGUUCGGACUGGGGUCUGCAACCCGACCCCACGAAGCUGGAUUCGCUAGUAAUCGCGCAUCAGCCAUGGCGCGGUGAAUACGUUCCCGGGCCUUGUACACACCGCCCGUCAAGCCAUGAAAGCCGGGGGCGCCUAAAGUCCGUGACCGUAAGGAGCGGCCUAGGGCGAAACUGGUAAUUGGGGCUAAGUCGUAACAAGGUA